This 394-nucleotide transfer-messenger RNA is filed under the name Candidatus Gallimonas merdigallinarum. Its description in RNAcentral is "Gallimonas merdigallinarum Standard tmRNA". It matches the Rfam family "transfer-messenger RNA". From Rfam's summary of the family: Bacterial tmRNA, also known as 10Sa RNA or SsrA, is named for its dual tRNA and mRNA-like properties. Its role is to liberate the mRNA from a stalled ribosome. Lineage: Bacteria; Bacillati; Bacillota; Clostridia. The record is from RNAcentral.
GGGCCUGUUACGGAUUCGAUUGCAAGCGGAGUUUGUCGGACGCACGCCGGAGGCUCGGCUCCGUAAAAACGGAAAUUAAAUUUAAAUGCUGACAAGAAAGAAAGAAGGUCGGCUGUUGCGCGCAGAGCUUCCGCUCGUCGCGUAGCGCUUGCGGCUUAACUUAGUUUAAGCUCCGUCCCACCCCGAUUGCCCACGGUCGGGAAUGGGGCGUCAAUGCAGUGGGGAACCUCCUUUGAAGGAAAACUUCCGCUUUCAGAGAGGAUCUCAGGGAAGUAUGCCCAAGGCGCAGGCUGUCUGUGAACUGCCCGCGGGCGAGAUCUGAUCACAGACUAAGCGUGUAGUGUCCGCAGAUGAACCUUGUAAGACCGCAGUUCAACUCUGCGCAGGUCCACCA